This 1242-nucleotide ribosomal RNA is filed under the name metagenome. RNAcentral's name for it is "bacterial LSU rRNA". It matches the Rfam family "Bacterial large subunit ribosomal RNA", at positions 1564 to 2816 of the family's 2925-position model. The record is from RNAcentral.
UGAAUACGAGACGCUAAGGCGUCGAAGUAGUGUAUGUCAUACUUCCAAGAAAAGCUUGCACUGUCAUAGAUAAAAAACGCCUGUACCAUAACCGACACAGGUGGGUAGGUAGAGUAUACUAAGGGGCGCGAGAUAACUCUCUCUAAGGAACUCGGCAAAAUAACUCCGUAACUUCGGGAGAAGGAGUGCCUUAUUCUUAAGGUUGCAAUAACAAGAUCCAAGCAACUGUUUAUCAAAAACACAGGUCUCCGCUAAGUCGUAAGACGAUGUAUGGGGGCUGACGCCUGCCCAGUGCCAGAAGGUUAAAGAAGCUGGUUAGCUUUUGCGAAGCUAGUAACUGAAGCCCUGGUGAACGGCGGCCGUAACAAUAACGGUCCUAAGGUAGCGAAAUUCCUUGUCGGGUAAGUUCCGACCCGCACGAAAGGCGUAAUGAUUUGGAUACUGUCUCGGAGAGGGGCUCGGUGAAAUAGACUUGUCUGUGAAGAUGCGGACUACCUGCACCAGGACAGAAAGACCCUAUGAAGCUUUACUGUAACUUGAAAUUGAAAUUGGACUUUAUUCGCGCAGUAUAGGUGGGAGGCGUUGAUUAUAAUCUUGCGGGAUUAUUGGAGCCAUUAGUGAGAUACCACUCUUGUAAUGUUAGAUUUCUAACUUUGAAUCAUUAUCUGGUCAAAGAACAGUUUCAGGCGGGCAGUUUGACUGGGGCGGUCGCCUCCCAAACGGUAACGGAGGCGUACAAAGGUUUCCUCUGAACGGUUAGAAAUCGUAUCUAGAGUGUAAAGGCAUAAGGAAGCUUGACUGUGAGACCUACAAGUCGAGCAGGGACGAAAGUCGGUCUUAGUGAUCUGACGGUACUGAGUGGAAAGGCCGUCACUCAACGGAUAAAAGUUACUCUAGGAUAACAGGCUGAUCUCCCCCAAGAGUUCACAUCGACGGGGAGGUUUGGCACCUCGAUGUCGGCUCAUCGCAUCCUGGGGCGGUAGUACGUCCCAAGGGUUGGGCUGUUCGCCCAUGAAAGCGGUACGCGAGCUGGGUUCAGAACGUCGUGAGACAGUUCGGUCCAUAUCCGGUGUAGGCGUUAGAAUAUUGAGAGGAGCCUUCUUUAGUACGAGAGGACCGAGAAGGACAUACCUCUGGUGUACCAGUUAUCGUGCCAACGGUAGACGCUGGGUAGCUAUGUAUGGAGUGGAUAACCGCUGAAAGCAUCUAAGUGGGAAGCCCACCUCAAGAUAAGUAUUCUCA